CCUCCCCGUACCAUUCGUUGGUUUGCUGACCAAGAAUGCUUGCUGCUUUUUUCGCUCUCUAAUGUCGUCCGGUUCUGGUAAUAUUGUUACAGCAUGUCCAGCAAUAGCCCCCAAACAGGGCCCCUAAAUUUGCAAGUAGGGGCCAGCCCUCAUAAGUAGGGACCCAAAAAUUGCAAAUGUCUCCAGCAAGACCUCCUAAAUCACAACCCCUAUUUCAUUCACAUAUUUCAAACCAAAUUCAUCCGAUUUCAACCUAAAUUCAUCCAAUUUCAACACAAAAUAGUCAAAUUGAACCUCUAUUCAUUAAACCUCAACACCCAUCAUCCAAAUUACCAAUUUGUACAUACAAUUUUAACAAAAAAAAACCAUUUCAAUACACAGUGGAGGAGACCUGCGCCAUCGCUGGAGGAGGAGUAGGUGGUGGCCGCCGUCACUGGAGGAGGACGAGCUGGUGGCGGGCGCUGUCGCAGGGGGAGGAGCAGGAGGUGGUGGCGGGCGCCGCCGCGGGGAGAGGAGCAGGAGGUGGUGGCGGGCAGUGCUCUUGUAGGAGGAGCAGGAGGUGGCGGCGGGGGCCGAGGGGAGGAAGAGGAGGAGGUCGUGCCGUCGUGGCGGCCGACGCUCUCGCGGGAGGUGCCGGCGGGGGCCGUCGCAGGGGGAGGAAGAGGAGGAGGUCGUGGCGGACGACGUUCUCGCGGGAGGCGGUGGCCGGAGACGGGGAGGGUGAGGCGGUGGUGGCCGGAGAAGGAGAGGCGGCGGCAUCCGAAGGAGAGUGAGGGAGAGGCAAACGAGAGGAGGGAGAGAAGAUCGGGGGAAUCUUGGGGAUAGGGGGUCCCUAUCCCACCCGUGGGAAUGGGGGCCCUCGGGCAGAUUUGGAGGCCUCCCAAAAUUUAGGGGCUUGUUUAGGGGCCCUGUUGGACCAGUUUUUUUGCCUCAAGCCCCCAAACAGGGUCCUGUUUGGGGGCUCGGCCGGACAUGCUCUUAGUCCUCUCUUCCGAUAUAAUCAGUCUUGUUAAGGAACAAUUUCAUUUCAUUUGGUGGUCGCAGCUGCAGAUGACGUUAAUUUGAUUCCUUAUACAAAUUGCAUUGUACCUCUGGUGUGGAAUAUCCGAUUGGGGAGAAACAAAGUAUAGCAUUUUAGUGGAAUGAACAUAUGUCAGUAUAUUACGUAAUUUGAGGAAUUAGUUCUUUUC
Long non-coding RNA from Brachypodium distachyon (stiff brome), 1190 nucleotides. RefSeq lists it as uncharacterized. NCBI's taxonomy places the organism in Eukaryota, Viridiplantae, Streptophyta, Magnoliopsida, Poales, Poaceae. The record is from RefSeq and is a predicted model, not a curated record. The transcript is spliced from 2 exons.